CGAAUUAUCACAACCCCAGAACCAAAGGUCAGAACUUUGACGGUCCCUGACUUCCCGCAGUCAACUCAAAGCCAUCCAGGAGAUCUCUCAGCAGACGAGGAUGAUGAGGAGCUGAUGAGACUUGGUCGGAAGGCCUGGUCCAGUCAGGGAGACCUGCUGUCUGCAGGUGAAGGGAUGCGUCCUGUGUCAGCUGCAAGCGUAGGCAGCGUGGUGAUCCAGGACCGUCUGACUGAGCUCGUGCGACUGUUCAAAGGUCGGACGGAGCGUCAGAAAGAGAGGCUGGUGGACCCCGAUGAGUCUGAGGGGGAAAGUCCUUCAGCAUGUGAGUAAAAGCAUGCGUCCUGCCGAAUGACCCUCCAGCGCAUCGUGAGAACAGCUGUGAAGAUUGUUGGUGCCUCUCUCCCCUCCCUCCAUGACAUUCACUCUUCCCGCGACCCCUCCCACCCG
Molecule: long non-coding RNA, 447 nt
Organism: Notolabrus celidotus (New Zealand spotty)
Lineage: Eukaryota; Metazoa; Chordata; Actinopteri; Labriformes; Labridae
Exons: 3
Source: RefSeq, a predicted model, not a curated record